Molecule: unclassified non-coding RNA, 315 nt
Filed under: fungal sp.
Lineage: Eukaryota; Fungi
Description: partial internal transcribed spacer region
Rfam family: Eukaryotic small subunit ribosomal RNA (bases 1-45)
Source: RNAcentral
AGUCGUAACAAGGUAACCGUAGGUGAACCUGCGGUUGGAUCAUUAUCUAAAUUUUUGUUGAACAUUGAUAUCUUGUUUUGAAAGAAAUGGGAUUGAUUUGUUGAAUGAAUUUCAUUACUCUUUUGCUUAGGUUGUUCUUUGGGAUGAUUGAGCAAAAGAGACAACACAUUGUGAAUAGUACCCAAUUGACUUGACUUGAUUUAUCCCUUGUGAUGAUCAAGUCUUGCCUUUUAAAACACCAUUUAUUAUAAAAAAGUGAGACAAUUUAUCUUUAAGAAUAAAAAACAACUUUUGACAACGGAUCUCUUGGCUCUC